RNAcentral lists this ribosomal RNA (457 nucleotides) under uncultured Perlucidibaca sp. Its description in RNAcentral is "bacterial SSU rRNA". It matches the Rfam family "Bacterial small subunit ribosomal RNA", at positions 342 to 791 of the family's 1533-position model. The record is from RNAcentral. Lineage: Bacteria; Pseudomonadati; Pseudomonadota; Gammaproteobacteria; Pseudomonadales; Perlucidibacaceae.
CGGGGGGCAGCAGUGGGGAAUAUUGGACAAUGGGCGAAAGCCUGAUCCAGCCAUGCCGCGUGUGUGAAGAAGGCCUUCGGGUUGUAAAGCACUUUAAGCGAGGAGGAAGGGUAUCAACUUAAUACGUUGGUAUUUUGACGUUACUCGCAGAAUAAGCACCGGCUAACUCUGUGCCAGCAGCCGCGGUAAUACAGAGGGUGCAAGCGUUAAUCGGAAUUACUGGGCGUAAAGCGCGCGUAGGCGGUUGUGUAAGUUGGAUGUGAAAUCCCCGGGCUUAACCUGGGAAUGGCAUUCAAAACUGCACGGCUAGAGUAUGGGAGAGGAAGGUAGAAUUCCAGGUGUAGCGGUGAAAUGCGUAGAUAUCUGGAGGAAUACCGAUGGCGAAGGCAGCCUUCUGGCCUAAUACUGACGCUGAGGUGCGAAAGCAUGGGGAGCAAACAGGAUUAGAUACCCGAGU